This 506-nucleotide ribosomal RNA is filed under the name uncultured bacterium. RNAcentral's name for it is "partial 16S ribosomal RNA". It matches the Rfam family "Bacterial small subunit ribosomal RNA", at positions 29 to 523 of the family's 1533-position model. The record is from RNAcentral.
AGUGAACGCUGGCGGUAGGCCUAACACAUGCAAGUCGAACGGCAGCACGGGAGAGCUUGCACUCUGGGUGGCGAGUGGCGGACGGGUGAGGAAUACAUCGGAAUCUACUCUGUCGUGGGGGGUAACGUAGGGAAACUUACGCUAAUAACGCAUACGACCUACGGGUGAAAGCAGGGGACCUUCGGGCCUUGCGCGAUUGAAUGAGCCGAUGUCGGAUUAGCUAGUUGGCGGGGUAAAGGCCCACCAAGGCGACCAUCCGUAGCUGGUCUGAGAGGAUGAUCAGCCACACUGGAACUGAGACACGGUCCAGACUCCUACGGGAGGCAGCAGUGGGGGAUAUUGGACAAUGGGCGCAAGCCUGAUCCAGCCAUACCGCGUGGGUGAAGAAGGCCUUCGGGUUGUAAAGCCCUUUUGUUGGGAAAGAAAUCCAGCUGGCUAAUACCCGGUUGGGAUGACGGUACCCAAAGAAUAAGCACCGGCUAACCUCGUGCCAGCAGCCGCGGUAA